AUCCCCUGGGGAUCUUGUUAAAAUGCAGAUUCUGAGUCACUAUUUGUUGGACUGGGCAGGAGAGUCUGCAUUUUUAACGAGUUCUCAGGUGGUACUGA
RNAcentral lists this microRNA precursor (98 nucleotides) under Mustela putorius furo (domestic ferret). RNAcentral's name for it is "mir-544 microRNA precursor family". It matches the Rfam family "mir-544 microRNA precursor family". Lineage: Eukaryota; Metazoa; Chordata; Mammalia; Carnivora; Mustelidae. The record is from Rfam by way of RNAcentral.